AACGAACGCUGGCGGCAUGCCUAACACAUGCAAGUCGAACGAGACCUUCGGGUCUAGUGGCGCACGGGUGCGUAACGCGUGGGAACCUGCCCUUAGGUUCGGAAUAACUCCCCGAAAGGGGUGCUAAUACCGGAUAAUGUCUUCGGACCAAAGAUUUAUCGCCUUUGGAUGGGCCCGCGUUGGAUUAGCUAGUUGGUAGGGUAAAAGCCUACCAAGGCGACGAUCCAUAGCUGGUCUGAGAGGAUGAUCAGCCACACUGGGACUGAGACACGGUCCAGACUUCUACGAGAGGCAGCAGUGUGGAAUAUUGGACAAUGGGCGAAAGCCUGAUCCAGCGAUGCCGCGUGAGUGAUGAAGGCCUGAGGGUUGUAAAGCUCUUUUACCCGGGAUGAUAAUGACAGCACCGGGAGAAUAAGCUCCGGCUAACUCCG
This 431-nucleotide ribosomal RNA is filed under the name uncultured bacterium. RNAcentral describes it as "partial 16S ribosomal RNA". It matches the Rfam family "Bacterial small subunit ribosomal RNA", at positions 29 to 505 of the family's 1533-position model. The record is from RNAcentral.